This is a small nuclear RNA of Poeciliopsis prolifica (blackstripe livebearer), 191 nucleotides long. RefSeq annotates it as U2 spliceosomal RNA. The transcript has a single exon. Lineage: Eukaryota; Metazoa; Chordata; Actinopteri; Cyprinodontiformes; Poeciliidae. The record is from RefSeq and is a predicted model, not a curated record.
AUCGCUUCUCGGCCUUUUGGCUCAGAUCAAGUGUAAGUUUCUGUUCUUAUCAGUUUAAUAUCUGAUAGUCCUCGACAUGGGGACCAAAUAUUAAAUUGAUUUUUGGAACAAGGAGCUGGAGUAGAGGCUUGCCUUCUCCAGUUCACGCAUUGUCCUGGUAUUGCAGUGUCUCCAGGAGCAGUGCACCUCCA